This 1002-nucleotide ribosomal RNA is filed under the name Triticum aestivum (bread wheat). RNAcentral describes it as "partial small subunit ribosomal RNA". Lineage: Eukaryota; Viridiplantae; Streptophyta; Magnoliopsida; Poales; Poaceae. The record is from RNAcentral.
AUGCGCCUUGUCCUCGGGAGUGAGCGGUAUAGCUUGGUAGAUCUCCAUCUCGACGUACUUGAUGGUGUCCUUGCUCUGGUUGACGACGACGCUGCGGGCGUAGUAGGGGCAGCCGUCGAGGUGCACGUUCCGGUUGCCCUUGGAGGGCAACGGCAGCGGCAUGUCGCGGAGCUUGGGGCUGUCCUCGAGCACGUCGCAGAGGACGAUGCCUCGCCAGAGAUCCACCCAGAUGACCGUGCCCUUCGCGCCGCCGAGCGUGAUCACGUUGUUUGUCCGGUGGUGGAAGAGCCCCGGCGACGAGGGAAGGGUCGUCGGGCACACCUUAUCCCUCAGCGGCUCCUCCACCUCCACCACCUUGGAGGUCCAAGCCCCCUGCUCGCCGUCGGGCCCGGAGCGGUACAGGUAGAGCGUGAAGGUGAACUUGCCGAGGGUCUGGAGGGCGGCUACGGCGUAACCGCCGCCGCCGUCGCCGUCGCCGCAGCUCAGUAUGGCCAUCUCCGGGUCUUGGAAUUCAAAGCGAUGGGGAGCGGACGUCGGGAGCAGGUCCAGUCUUGGGCGUCGGGGGUGCGCCGUGUAGACGAAGUAGUCGCAGAACCUGAUGCUGAACCUGGCCGACCGGUCGACGGGGACGCGGAGGAGGACGAGGUCGGCGUCCGCGGCGAUGACCUUGGGCGCCAGGGACAGGGGCUCGGGUUCCGGGCACGCGGCGCAGUCGACGGAGAGGUACGAGAGGACUGGCGGGCGGAGGGCGCAGAGGGUCACCGCGAUGGGCAGGCCGGCGCUCGUCUUGGACGUGGCGGUGGCGGCGCUGCGGCUGGGGCUGACGGAGCCGAAGAGGUCGAGCAGCAUGGUGCUUGGGAUGUCGUGGCCCUCGCGGCUCCCGAUGAAGGCCGCGCCGGCCAUGGGGUCCGGUCGAUGGAUCAAUCUGAUCGGGGAAGACCCACCCGGAGCUUCACUUGGAUUUGGGAUCUGGGGACGGCGGGAUUUGGCCGGGCAAGGUGA